RNAcentral lists this ribosomal RNA (508 nucleotides) under uncultured soil bacterium. RNAcentral's name for it is "bacterial SSU rRNA". It matches the Rfam family "Bacterial small subunit ribosomal RNA", at positions 26 to 537 of the family's 1533-position model. The record is from RNAcentral.
AGAUUGAACGCUGGCGGCAGGCCUAACACAUGCAAGUCGAGCGGUAGAGAGGUGCUUGCAUCUCUUGAGAGCGGCGGACGGGUGAGUAAUGCCUAGGAAUCUGCCUAGUGGUGGGGGAUAACGUUCGGAAACGGACGCUAAUACCGCAUACGUCCUACGGGAGAAAGCGGGGGACCUUCGGGCCUCGCGCCAUUAGAUGAGCCUAGGUCGGAUUAGCUAGUUGGUGGGGUAAUGGCCUACCAAGGCGACGACGGGUAGCCGACCUGAGAGGGUGACCGGCCACACUGGGACUGAGACACGGCCCAGACUCCUACGGGAGGCAGCAGUGGGGAAUAGUUGCACAAUGGGCGAAAGCCUGAUGCAGCGACGCCGCGUGAGGAUGAAGGCCUUCGGGUUACGUAAACCUUCUUUCAGUCGAGGGACGAAGCGACGAAGUGACCGGUACCUGACCAGAAGAAGCACCGGCUAACGUACGUGCCGAGCCAGCCGACGGUAAUCGUAGACGCGG